This 1378-nucleotide long non-coding RNA is filed under the name Monodelphis domestica (gray short-tailed opossum). RNAcentral's name for it is "lncRNA (ENSMODG00000046137.1)". The record is from RNAcentral. Lineage: Eukaryota; Metazoa; Chordata; Mammalia; Didelphimorphia; Didelphidae.
CUCACCCAGUCACGUGCCUACUGUUGCUGCCCCCAUCUAGUAGAAUGAACUCUGGAGAGAAAAUCAUGGUUUAAAACACCGACUUUGUUACUAAUAACUCAAAUGGCCUUGAACUAGCCUCUUUCUCUUUGCGUCUCAGUGUUCUUAUCUGUGAUAUGGGGGAAGUUGGACUAGAUGACCUCUAAAUCCUCUGCUGUUCUUUGUCCCACACGUGCAGAGGAAUACCAGCAUUCCUCUGUCCUUGAGACUGAUAAGAUAUAGAGCUAGCACUAGCCUUGCAUACCAUAGAUAUUGGAGGAAGAUGUAACUUGUUUUUUAUUUGAUUUGAUUCCCUGCCUGCUGAAAGGGCUUGAGUUUGUAUAUCUCCUGAACAAAACAGAAGCACCCCGCUUGCUGUGUGGUAUGUCUCAACCCCUAGAGGCUUCAUGUUCCCCAAAUCUGCUGGGAAAAGGUUCUUCUUUUGACUUCGCAUCUGUCCCUCUGGACCCGUCUGCUGACUCCAGCUCCAUCUGAUGUGAUAAGUGUCUGCUUUGACCUAUGUAAACAAGAGGUGAAUGAAGAUUGAGACAGAAUGGACCAAGCUUCAACCUUCUGCAUUUCGAAGGGUGUCUCACCUAUCCUGAAUUUUAAAGCCCGUUGGUGUGAGACACUUUCCUCACUGGUGAAGAUCAGUGCCCUGGGUCUGCAUGAGCAGUGGAGUAGACUUGGCAAGAGAAGAGAGAUUUUCUCUUUCUGUUGUUCAGAAGUUUCUUUGGGCUUUUCAGAUCUGGUUUUGAGGUGGAAGAUAGAAGAUGCCAAUAUCACUUUAGACUGUUAAAGUAAAAGAAUCUGGGAAGAAGCCAACAUGAGAGGAGUUGUCAAUCUGUCAUGUCCCCAUUCUCAUUCUCCUACAUUAGAAAUUUUAGGGAACUUCCCCUUGGGCAAAAUCUAGAAAUCUCUCUUGGUUGAGCUGAACUACCUCUCUCCCAAUGGGAGAACUCCUUCAUUCUGUAUUUUCUGGUAUACAUCCUCAUAUGCAAUGAUGGCAAACCUUUUAGAAAUUGAGUACUGGGCCCCGCCCCAAUGACACACCCCUAGACCCAGUGUUGUGCCCCCCCCCCCAGACCAUGUGCCAUGUCCAGCACCUCAGGGGAGGAGGAAGUACUCCCAUUGGGCUACUGGGCAGAGGGGUGGGUGAUAUGAAAAAAUAUCAUCAGGCACAGUGGAGAGAGGGAAGGGAGCAACUCUGCCCAAGUCCUUCUGCCUUUCUAGUAAUGAAUUCUGCAAGCCACCUUUGGCACCUGUACCAUAUGUUCACUAUCACUGCUGGCAUGUAUUCCCUCGUGAAUGUCUACUUUGCUCCGAUGUGAAUAAAUAGAUUGGUCUCCCAUCUGUUUCA